RNAcentral lists this unclassified non-coding RNA (249 nucleotides) under uncultured bacterium. Its description in RNAcentral is "contains 16S-23S intergenic spacer region". The record is from RNAcentral.
AAAGAAAGAGGAAGCCUGCCAUGCGCAUCCUUCUCGUAAACCCACCUCAUCCUUCUAUCGGCAGCCGCAUACCCCGGGAGCACCUGCCACCUCUGGGCUUGCUAUCUGUGGGCGGCCCACUUCUUGAUGCAGGUCAUGAGGUCCAGCUUCUCGACGCGGAAUUUGGUCCGUUAUCCGUCCAGCAAAUUGUGGAUCAAGUGGCAUCCUUUGCGCCAGAAGCCGUCCUUAUCGGCCAUUCCGGCUCGACUU